Molecule: long non-coding RNA, 4628 nt
Organism: Ostrea edulis (European flat oyster)
Lineage: Eukaryota; Metazoa; Mollusca; Bivalvia; Ostreida; Ostreidae
Exons: 10
Source: RefSeq, a predicted model, not a curated record
GCUAGGGACACAUCCAGUUUUGACAUUCAUUGCAAUGUCCAUUGCAUCGCUUUGAGCAUUUUCUUGAAUUUUGAUAGGACAUCACCAAACCUUUGGUGAAUUUGUCGUUAACUGUCGGUCCGGUUUAAAAUAGUCCUCGAUCAGUACCCCUUGCUUGUUGUAAGAGGCGAAUAAAUGGGGCGGUCCUUCAGAUAGGACUGCAAAAACUGAGAUCCUUGUCACAGCAGGUGUAGCACGAUAAAGAUCCCUCAGUGCCAUAAGCGCUGAGCAUAGGCCUAAAUUUUGCAGCCCUUCACCGACAAUGGUAACGUCUUCAUGUGAGUGAUAUAUUCUCAAGAGAGACUUUAGUCAUUAUAUAAUCAAACAAUCAAUCGUACGUUGUCGAUGUUCUUUAAAUAGUGGCAUCGAAUAGCGCUUCAAAAGUUUCAUCGGCAUCCAGUUCGAUUCCAGCAUAAGGAACAACUUCCAAUCCAGUGUUAUGAAGUAUCGUACAUAUUAAGAUAGACAUCAUGAAUAACUUAACCGUAUUACACUGUUAGGAAAUUUCUCGAGAGCCCACGCUUCUGUCAUUUGUCAGCACAUAUAUCAAGGUCAUUUGUGCGUUUGUUGUAGAAAGUCGGGUAAAAAAUUACGGAUAUUUGUAAACACGCGGGUGGAUAUUAUUUUUUGAUGAUAAUAUAAUUUGCAUUUAUUACAAAUAGAAGCGGCGAAUCCGACGAACUAGAUUACAAAUUUGCAUGACCUUAUAUAUAAUAAUAAUAAUACCAUAUUUAUAUAGCACCCUUUUCAUACACUAUGUACGCUCAAAGGUGCUUUACAAUGCAUAUAUACCUUACAAGAGAAUGUUAUACACAUUAAAUACAUAGAAAAUAAAUAAAACAUUAAAAGCUGUACCUAUCCUCAUUGUACAUAUAAAACAUGAAAUCACAAGAUACCAUAAAUAUGCUAGAUAAGAAUAAACAUCAAUUUCAGGGCGUAUUAAAAUAAUAAUAAUAACUAGUGAUCCUAAUUGUUCGCGAACAAUUAGAGGGCUUUCCACCUUCUAGCGCUUUUUCAGUAGUGUUCAAAUACUAAAAGCCCCCCACCCCACCCACCCCCGCAAAAAAAAAAAUAAAAAAAUUUGAUUUGGCUAGAAAAGAAAUUCAAAUUUGUCGCCUAAAUUUGAGUGUUGAAGUGUGUUCAAUGCUUGGUUUCGAAUUAAGUACCCGUCAAAUUUUAGGGAGAAAAGGGGUGUGGGUGUUGGGUAGCCAGCACAUAUGCACAUAUCAGGUAAAAGUGUAAUAAGACUUGUGCAGGUGUUUGGGGUGACUUUGGACCUGUUAGAUGUGAUAUUUGGAGGUGCAAAGAAACCGGAUGUGACAUUUUCCUAGAUUGUUUACUGCUCGUGCAUACUGGGAGUCUACAAGCCUCAUGUUGAUGUUGUGAAGAUGCACUGGAUUUUACCGUGUGUGUUGUGGAUUGUGGAAUUGAAUAUACAGUUUGUAAUUGCUCAUCCUAUGUGUUCUAAUUCACGGAGACAAUGUCUUUCAGUCAUUUCACCCAAGGAGGCAUGCAUACGGAUUUAGGCUUUGAAAAAAACCAGCCAAAAUGGCGGCCGGUGAAUUAGAAAGUGUCUGAGUGCAUGUAGGAUAUCUGAACGGAGAAUAGGAGUACUGCAUCCCAUCUGAUCCUGCAGGCCUGUGAUUUUAUAUACAGCAAGAUUACGACUGAAGUUCCACCAGUUGGAAACAAGUCCUCCAUCACAAACGAGGGAAUAUGUUGCACACAUCGAGCAGUCUCCAGUAUAGCACAGAACAGUGGCCUCAAGGACUUUAGUGUUUCAGGAGAUUCAGCUCAUCACUUCAAAGGGCUUUCACUCUGCUGUUCAGAUGACAAAUACAAUGUGACUUCAUAGGGAUGUGUAGUAUGGCUGUAGAAGUUGUUGUGCCAAGUUUCAUGAAAAUUAAAGAAGACAAGUGACAGUGGGUUUUUUUCCGAAGCCUGGUAGGAAGAAUCUGCCGCUUGACCAGGAUCAUUGUCUGGGUCAUCCGGUCAGUGGUUACCACCUGUACUUCAAGGUCACUCUCAGAGGAGUCCCCACAGCAUCCGUAUUCCAGGUGAUGCAUUGAAAUGCUUAAACCACAUGCCCAGGACUACAAAAGUGCUAUUAUUUAUGACUUGUGUGAUAUGAAGAGUAGAAAUGUCGGAGGAUAGAAGAAUUGUUCUCAGUUCAUCAUUACCUGCUGGUGGAGAUUAGGAGUGUCAGAGGAUAGAAGAAUUGUUCUCAGUUCAUCAUUACCUGCUGGUGGAGAUUAGGAGUGUCGGAGGAUAGAAGAAUUGUUCCCAGUUCAUCAUUACCUGCUGGUGGAGGCUGAACACUUUGAUAAACAUUACUGUUGUCUUGCUGAGAUGUAGCAAUCAGUGUGAGGUUUCAUUUACUGAAAGAAGAGUCGGAGAACUUCCUGGGUCUCAGGAGAUGAUGACAGCCUGACCACAGGAACACUUCCUUCCUCCUACAAGCAGAAAGAGGCUGUCUUACCAUCUGAUUCAUUUCUGGAAAUAGUCUUCCAAAUAGAGUGGGUAAAAUUCUUCCUUUUCACUUAACUUAAGCUAUAUAUUUUUGAUAAAUCCGGUAUAAGCUGAUGUGAAAUUUAUUAUCUCUCCUUCCCAUCCACCCCUUUUUCUGUAAACUUUACGUAUUUCUUGUUUACUCAGGUGACCUAUAAUAAUUGGUCUGCGUCCUUUGUCGUGUGUUAAUAGUCGAAUAUUUUUAACUUUUUGAUAACUACCAUUCAAAUUCUUCUCAAAUUUUAUACCAAGCAUCUUUUGGACAAGGGGGACAUCAGUUGUAAAUUUCAGGAUUCCUGAACCACAGGACCCAAUUUCAACUUAGAACAGACCAUACUUGGAUGAAGGGAUCCAUGAUUGUUCAACUAUAGGGCUUCAACCCAUUCCAAAGGAGAUAGCAAAGAAAUGGCAAAAAUAGGAUUGAGUCGUUUUUGAAUCUUUUCAAGAAGCACUGUUUUACAUAGGGAUAUAUUGGGAAAUCUUUGAAAAUCUUUUCUCAAAAACAAAAAACAAAACAGUAGGACAAUAUAUGAUAUGCAAUCAUUCUAAAGUUGGUAGGGUAAAGUCACAAUAGGGGAUCAACAUUUAGGGCACUUGAAAUUAAUUAUUUGGUUCUCAGGCCAAUUUUCUCAAAACCAGAUGAGGGAGGGAGGCAUUUUGUUUUCAUUUCUAUUAGGCAUGAAAUAGGUGAUGGGGGCUUUUUUGAAAUCUGAAACUUGUUGGAAAAGAAACUUUAAACAUAAAAAGUUCUCUGAAACAUACACUUUGUUGUUCGGUGAUUAAAGCUUUAUACAUAAUUCAGACAUACAGAUUCAGCAAAUAUGGAUGUUUACAUGAAUCUUACAUUAAAUGUUCAUCCAAUACAAUUCUUUUGUGAAGUAAAUUAAAAUUCAAACUGUAACAAACUUGCAAAAACAUCACACGGGCCCUGUUUACAUAACUAAGAAUUGAGAGUGUUGUAUCUCAUUUAAAACUCAAGAAUUGACCAUCCAAAGUUUUACUGACCAUUAGAAAUACCCCAGUUAAACAUAAUAAAUAUUACAAAUGAAAAAAUAAGAUUAGAAAUUUUUAGUCCAAAUAUUGUUUAUGCCCCUUUAAGCAUAAUAUAGUGGUGUUAUUAAGUCAAUUUGUGAUUAAUGUGCGAAUAAAUUUUACAGGGUAUUGGUCACUGGAAGAGUCCCGCUGAUUGACGAGGAAUUGUCCUGAGACUGUGACAUAUUGUAGAGUAGCGGUCACCAGAGAUGUAAGGCUGAUUGAUGAGGGUACUUUUCCUGAGACUCUGUAAAAAUAUCAGAAUUUGGCGUGAAGUGAUUGGUUGUACAGAAAUUUCAAGUUCUCCCAGAUCCAGGGAAACAUGAGGACUAUGGAGUGUCGUGAUGUUAUUGAUGGUCAACAGAAGACUGUGACCUUGAAUCUGAAGAUAUGUGAUGAAGACUGGACGUUUGGGGUCACUCUCUGUUACAGUACUACAAUUCUAACAGUGUUUAACUCAGCCACAAAGAGGUUGUCUCUGAUGUCCACACAUAAACCCCAUGGACUGCGUAAAUGACAGUGAAUGUAACGGAGGAACUGUCCGUCCUGAUCUAGGAUGUGGAUACGGUUAUUGUUAAUGUCUGCUGUCAGGAUGUGACUCUGGCUGUCUGUAGUGAUGCCGACUGGAGUAAAUGAUAGCUUGGUAUUAGAGGGAUGACCAGUGUAUCUAAAUCGGAGUUUUCCUGACUGAUUGACCACCACUACUGCACUAGCGUUAUAGUCAGCCACACAGAUAUCCAGGUUCUUGUUCUCACUGAGGUAUUUACUGUAAUAACCAGAUUUAUAGAGAGGACGACCCUGAUCAUCAAACUGAAUGCUUUGUUUCUCUGUGGAGCCGGAGUAGCGCACGACUUUGGAUUGUUUGUCAUCAUCACUGUACAUGAUAACCAGGAGGUCGUUACCCGCGGUACAGCAGACAUAAAGAGGUAUCCACUCCUGUAGUGUGAUCAUGAUUGAGUUGAGUGGAACAAUGAACCUCCAGAUAUCUAUGUACAUUUACACGUGUAUGAUUAAACUUCUGUUGCACUCGCGCAUGCGAGCUUAUCCUA